This 473-nucleotide long non-coding RNA is filed under the name Arabidopsis lyrata. RNAcentral's name for it is "long non-coding RNA (ALYR_LNC002319)". The record is from RNAcentral. Lineage: Eukaryota; Viridiplantae; Streptophyta; Magnoliopsida; Brassicales; Brassicaceae.
ACCUGAUUACGAUCUGAAACAGCAGAUAUCAAGUUUGGAGUCGUUCCUUGAGCUGGACGGUACCACGGCGGAGAAACCGAGUCAACUCGAUGAGUCCGUCUCCGAGGUGGAUAUGUGGAUGCUUGAUGAUGUCAUCGCGUCGUAUGAAUAAAAAAAAAUAGUCUAAUAACUAAAAACAAAAUCAAAUAAAGUUUGUAAUAUAUGUAACCGCCGUUACUUUUUAAGGUUUUUACCGUUACAUUGGACUGCUGAUGAUGUCUGUUGUGGACCGUGUGGAGUUCAAAAUGUGACCAAAUAAUGGAGCGUUAUAUUACGGUUUAAUUGUGGAAUUAUUAUUUUCUGUAAUGGAAAAAACUUACAUGUGUAAAUAAGAUUUGUAAUGUAAUAAGUAUUUAUAACUUUUUAACUACUUUGUGGUAGUCCUGAUUCCUGAAACAAAUGGAAAUAUAUGACAAUGGGGUUUCGAUUUUUUC